This 255-nucleotide ribosomal RNA is filed under the name uncultured bacterium. RNAcentral's name for it is "partial 16S ribosomal RNA". It matches the Rfam family "Bacterial small subunit ribosomal RNA", at positions 99 to 354 of the family's 1533-position model. The record is from RNAcentral.
CGGACGGGUGAGUAACGCGUGGGAAACCUGCCCUGUACCGGGGGAUAACACUUAGAAAUAGGUGCUAAUACCGCAUAAGCGCACAGGAGCGCAUGCUCGAGUGUGAAAAACUCCGGUGGUACAGGAUGGUCCCGCGUCUGAUUAGCCAGUUGGCAGGGUAACGGCCUACCAAAGCGACGAUCAGUAGCCGGCCUGAGAGGGUGGACGGCCACAUUGGGACUGAGACACGGCCCAAACUCCUACGGGAGGCAGCAG